Molecule: unclassified non-coding RNA, 3339 nt
Filed under: Hevea brasiliensis (rubber tree)
Lineage: Eukaryota; Viridiplantae; Streptophyta; Magnoliopsida; Malpighiales; Euphorbiaceae
Source: RNAcentral
CUGGAUGGAAUAUCUUGAACAGUUGAGAAAGAAUUUCAAUGAAUGAUGGGUGCUAUACGUCCUUUGGAUCUGAGAUUUUUGUUCAAAAAGGCCUUGAAUUCUAGUAAGCUGCCAUUCAGGGAAGCUACUUUUUCUUCUCCCCUCGAUUCGAUAAGUACACGUAUUCGGCAAAUAUUGGAAAAUGAUGAAUCAAUGUUGAAGCUGUUAGAAAAACAAAAAAUUAGCUUCUGUCUGCAAAAUUCUUCUCCAUUUCCUGUAGCUGUGUUAGGCACCAAGCUUUCCAAAAUUGUAAAUAAUCAACUAAGCAAUUCAGAUUUAUAACACUUCCUAUCUCCUCCUUCCAAGUGGUUUCUGAAUGUACCCAGAUUUCAACCUUUUAAUUAGUUUCUCUUUUGUUAUCCGCUUUUUCUCCAUCUUUUGCCUAUAUCUUUCUUCUCUUUCCCUUUCAUAAAUCCCUUGCCAGUGCACUUCACCAAUUAAUGGCCACAACCAUCUCUCCCUUGGAAGAUCACCAUCAUCUGCAGCCUCUGCAAGAUCUUCAUCCAUACUCUUUAACAAUGUAAGAUUAAAGUAGUUUGCCCAUAUAAUUUCUUUUCUUUGUUCGAUUGGGUGCUGCUCUUCUAAAGAACCGGAUCGUGGGUCUAUGUAAACCAUUUUUCGUGCACUAUGGUAAGCCCAAACAUUAACAAGGAGUUCCAAUAUCCGACAAUAACAGUGUUUUUCCUCAAGCUGUGAAGAACUCAACAAACAAGAGUUCACUUGGCUAGAAUUGGUUUGCAAGGCAUCAAGUGAAUCGACAAACAUCCUGCCAUUCAAAUAUUAGUCAACACAACAGCAAAUUCUGUUAGCUGAAUUAUAUAUCUUUCAUUACUUACCGAGCAAACAUAAUGAACUCUAGAAGGGAAGGGGUUGGCAUAACCCAACUAUGCAGGGCAGACCAGUGGCCUCCAUCUUCCGGCAUUGGAGGAAGAGCUUCAAGAUGGGAUGGUAAGGAGUACAUCUGGCGGAAAGCAGCUUCAAAAGCAGUUCUGCAGUGUCCUCCAUUUAAAAUGUCACACAUUGACCAAAAUGUAAGUUCGUCAUUGCUUCCUGGUACUCCACUAUCCACAUCCAACCGUGCCCAAAAGUACAUUACAUCUCCUCUAGUUUCUUUUUGUAUCUUUUCUUCCAAAGCCUUUUCAGCAUUAACGGAUAAUGAGACCUGCUUCGAGAAAAAGAAGACAAGUGAUAAUUGCAGUAAUAAACAAGAGGAGAUGCAAAUAAUUGCAAUUUUAAAAAUUCUAACAUCAAAUUGGAAAGAGUAAGGGUAAGGUUUUUUUAAAGUGUAGCAAUGGAAUACAAAGUAAGGCAAAGUAUACAUGCUUAUCUUGCUUGGAGGGAAGGAUGAUAAGUGGUACCCAUUUAAGUCGAAAAUUCUAAAAUCUAAACUCACCAAUUUCAUGGUUUCGAAAUUGGGGAAUGGUUGAGGUGGUGUUUGGAGGUUUCUAAACGAUAUUUACCAAACUUUCAAAAACCAUGCCUCUCCCAAACAAAGGAGGGAAGGUUACUAAACCUUAUAAAACCUUCUUACCUCAGGGAUGUGUAUUUAAUUAAUUUUUUGUAACAUAUUAAAAAUUCCCAAUUAGGAAUAUCAAUCCUGUUUCACCUGUAGAAAGCUCUUUGCAUAUUAAGGAUUUCAAUUUAUAUCAGGAGAAUCAUCCAACCUUGACUUUGUUUCAAUAAGACCACUAUAGAUUUUGUUAAAUUUCAAUUAAACAUUUGACCAGCUCCAUAAGUGACAAUAGAUUAUUCGAAUUCAAAUUUGGCUAAAUCUUCACAAAAGUUUUUGCCAUAAUAAUCAUAAAAAAGGAUGACCCCAUGCAUGAAGCAUCCCACACUAGUGGGCUAUGGGGAGGGUUCAUGUACACAGCCUUACUCCAGCUUUGCUGCUUUGCAAAGAAGCUGUUUUUGCGGCUCGAACCCGUGACCUCCAGGUCACAAUCAAAAUAACUUUACCAUUAUACCAAAGCCCCCAUCUCCAUUAGCCAUAGUGAUCAUAUUGAAAUAAAAUCAAAGUUGAGUAGUUGCUGAUACAAAUUGAAGCUCAUUGACUACUGAAAUUUAAUGGUAAGUUCAAUCAGAAUAGAUGAAACUAAAUAAGAAAAAAAUUAACAACAAAUUUCAAAAAGUUAACUGAAACUUCCACCAGAAUAAAAGAUACCUUCCUACCAGCAGCACGCCAUGAUUGAAACCCAAUCCAAGGUCUACUGUGAAUAUUAUCCACUUUGUUUGCAACAGAAAACAUUCCUCCAAUCUCACAGAGUGCAUUUUGAUAGUAAGUGUCAUUCAAGAUGGGAAGCCGGGCAGCAGCAUCCACAUCAUCUGAUCUUGAUCUCCGAGCUUUUGUAGAAAGACUUAACCCACGGUACAGAGAACCAUGGUGCAAAAAUGGCCAGGCCCCAGCUCCAUUAUAUAUCUCAUAAAUGCAUACUGGCUGACCUGUCCUUUCAAGCUCUCCCUCAUCUCUUUCAUUUGCUUCAAACUUGAGUUUCUCAGAUUUUCGGGCAUUGCGAUACAAGUCAUCCCAUACACCAGGGCUUCUAUCCAUUCUUUCUUCAAGCUCCUCGAUUUCUAGCCUCUCAUAUUCUUCAAAGCUAUCUACCUCCCUUAAAACAUCCCAAUCUGAUUCAGUUGGGAUAUCUGGGAAUGGAAUUUUGAUUCCAUUUGCAGAGAUAUUAGUCGAAACAAUAAGAUUCAUCAACCUUUUCUCAGGGGAAUAAACAAUGCUAGAUCCUCUGAAAGAAGAUUCUCUCCCAUCCAUGCCUAACAAGUCAUCAGUUUCCUGUACUAUUUCCUUCCCGAACAAGUUCCACUCCCAUACCUUCUGUUGAAGCUGGGAUGAAGGACCAGGCAACAAGGCAUCUGAUGGAAAACUGAGUAAAUUCUCCAAUAGCCUUGCAUAACCAGUCAUACAUUCUGAUGCAAGCAUGUUCCUAGCAAGCAGUCUUCCAGAGGCAGCAAUGUUUUGAGCAUACCUAGAAAGUUUCCCAUCUGAUAUCAAAAGAGAGAAAACCUUCAUCAAAGCUUCAGGGUUAUAUUUUUGGAAGAGUAACCCAUGAACUCCAUCAAUAACAUAUUUCUUCAUUAUAGGAAUAUCAGGAGCAAUGACAGGUACUCCAAACGUCAUGGCUCGAAUAAUUAAAGCAGGAAAACCUUGUUCAUCUUGGGAAGAGCCAUAAAGAACAAUGUCAGCCAUUAAUAGCACACUGUUGACAUCACCAUUCAAGCCGUAAUGCUUUACAGAACCAUGGAGUAGCCCCAGACGAGAUGCAACUUCCACAUAAGAAAAUGAAUUUAAAU